CAUUGUGUGCCUCAGCAGUCAGCUGCAUAAUUAACAGCUCCGAAUGCUGAUCUACAUCAUCAAGCACGAUGACCUGAAGUUCACAGGUUGUGGCUUCUUUGCUGUAGACCUAUCGACCUUUGCAGCGAUCACCGGAGCGGUCAUCACAUACACUGUUGUCUUGGCCCAUACAAGUGCGAGUUACCUCUGAGACACACGUCUGCCUCCACGCAACAUCGUGGACAUUGAAAGAGCACACGCCGCUUACUGAAGUUAUGCGUAUUUAAGCAAAUCAUCUGUACUCAACUCGGAUGUCAGUACAACAAAGUAAUGUUGAAAUGGUAACGCAUGAAUGUUUGUGAAGCUUUCACGGCGAGAAAUAAAGCGUGGGGAAGUGUGA
Molecule: long non-coding RNA, 379 nt
Organism: Rhipicephalus microplus (southern cattle tick)
Lineage: Eukaryota; Metazoa; Arthropoda; Arachnida; Ixodida; Ixodidae
Source: RefSeq, a predicted model, not a curated record